AUGAUCGGGUGUCAGAUCGGAAAAUCGGAAGCAGGGAUCGUCAUCAGCGCGUCGUUGUGAGUCCGAUGGUGUGUUCGGAUCGUCGAUCGGACUUCGGCGGCUGGAGGCGUGUCGACCGAGCGAUCGAGCGUCUCGGUAAUUUUCUUUGGCCUGUUAAUUUUAAAAAUUCUUGGUUUAAUUGUGUCUAUUGGGUUAUAUUGAGUAUUUGAUGAUUUUGUGAGUCAUAAAUAAUUGUCUGUCAGUUGCCUGCCUUGUGUUUUGUGCUGUGUGGCGGAGUCGGGAAAUAGUGAAGUUUGGGGACCCGACUCCCGUUGUUUUAAUUGUAAGUAUUUGAAGUGUUUUUCUGGCAGGUCCUGGACCCGUCUUUACGGGGGGUAAUGUUCGUGUUGUAGGGGAGGUUCUGCCGGAUUUUCGGUAGAAUUCUCCCGAGUCGAGAUUCUUAGACAGUCAGUCCUAGGAAUCUAGACCUAGGAUCUAUUGUAAUUGUUUCAUCGUUUUGAUAAAUUGUUUUCCGUGAUUAGAUGAUCUGUCUGUUCGGCUCGCUCCUACCGAGGCCCCUAAGCUGAGCUAGGAGGUCGCCUAAUUCUGUGAGUUAAAGUCAUAUAUCGUUUACGCACGUGUCAUGCAUAAAAUUUGAUUUGCUACUGUGAAUAUUUAUUUGCAAUUUCAAUUUUUCAUUCAAUUAUUAUUAUUAUCAUUUGAAUGAUGCUUUUAAUUACUAUUUAAAUAUGUUUUUCCUUUAUUACCAAUUUUAAUAUUGCAUGAUGACUCAGGAUGGGACGGCAGUAGAACAUAGGAGUUGGAUGAGUGUCCAAUAUAAUAUGAGAGAGAUAAGAAAAGGGUAAAGAGGUAAAAAUUUUAAGAAAGAAAGAUUAGGACCUGCCCUGGUCGAGCAUCGCUCUCUGGGCUUAGUAGAGUGUGGUUGCCGGAGUAAAGGUCCCUGGUCGAGCAUUGCUCUCGGGGCGCCGGCUUAUUUGGAUAUUUAAGUGACCAGACUGGAGGUAAGGUCCCUGGUCGAGCUUUGCUCUCGGGGCGCCAGUCUUAUUGGAUUAAGAGAGUUGAAUGGCUACUAGAUUUCUUAUUUGGAUACUUAAGUGACCAGACUGGAGGUAAGGUCCCUGGUCGAGCUUUGCUCUCGGGGCGCCAGUCUUAUUGGAUAAGAGAGCCAAAAGGCUAAGGCUGAGAGUUAAGUGACCGGACUGGAGGUAAGGUCCCUGGUCGAGCUUUGCUCUCUGGGCGCCAGUCCUGUUGGAAUGAGAGGUUUGAGAUGAUAGAGUUGAGGUUAGUUGAGACAUAAGUGUUGAAAUAAUCGAGAUUUUAGAGUUGGGAUUAGAGUUCUACUGAAGUACUCUGUCCCGUUGCAUGUGGAAUAAAUUUUGUUUAAGCAUGGCAUGACACAUAUGUUUUAACAUGACACGUAUGGUUCGCGUGAUUUAUUAAUUAUUUUAAAAUUAAAUGAAUGUGACAUUGAGAUAUUUGAAACUGUUUUAGAUGUAUGAUUUUAACUCACUCUCGAGACUGAAAGUCUCCAUUUAUUGUUUUUCAGAUUCGUGACUGUUAGUUCUCUCGCGACUCUUAUUCAGUAACCCGACUCCUUCAUCAUCGGGUGAAGUAUUUGAUUUGGUAUGUAAAAUGGUAAAUCUUAGAUUCUCCGCAGUA
This 1659-nucleotide long non-coding RNA is filed under the name Ricinus communis (castor bean). RNAcentral describes it as "long non-coding RNA (RCOM_LNC002231)". Lineage: Eukaryota; Viridiplantae; Streptophyta; Magnoliopsida; Malpighiales; Euphorbiaceae. The record is from RNAcentral.